RNAcentral lists this ribosomal RNA (519 nucleotides) under uncultured bacterium. RNAcentral describes it as "partial 16S ribosomal RNA". The record is from RNAcentral.
AGCGACUGUGCAGGUUACCGCGGCUGCUGGCACGGAGUUAGCCGGUGCUUCUUCUGUGAGUGAUGUCCUUCCUGCCGGUUAUUGACCCGCAGGCCUUCUUCCUCACUGAAAGUGCUUUACAACCCGAAGGCCUUCUUCACACACGCGGCAUGGCUGGAUCAGGGUUGCCCCCAUUGUCCAAUAUUCCCCACUGCUGCCUCCCGUAGGAGUCUGGGCCGUGUCUCAGUCCCAGUGUGGCUGAUCAUCCUCUCAGACCAGCUACGGAUCGUCGCCUUGGUGAGCCGUUACCUCACCAACCAGCUAAUCCGACAUAGGCUCAUCCGAUAGCGCGAGGCCCGAAGGUCCCCCGCUUUCCCCCGUAGGGCGUAUGCGGUAUUAGCCUGGGUUUCCCCAGGUUAUCCCCCACUACCGGGCAGAUUCCUAUGCAUUACUCACCCGUCCGCCGCUCGCCACCAGGGAGCAAGCUCCCCGUGCUGCCGCUCGACUUGCAUGUGUUAGGCCUGCCGCCAGCGUUCAAUC